Long non-coding RNA from Arachis ipaensis, 971 nucleotides. RefSeq lists it as uncharacterized. Lineage: Eukaryota; Viridiplantae; Streptophyta; Magnoliopsida; Fabales; Fabaceae. The record is from RefSeq and is a predicted model, not a curated record.
UUUGUUGAUGCAUUGUUUCCUUAGUAACACUUGUUGUGUUAGUGGACCAAAGGUGAUGGUGGCUUUGCGAACAAGGUGUUCCCGGUUCCCCAUUAACGCCGCUGUCUAUAACACUGGCCAAGGUAUACUCAAUAGUGACAAAACAAAACUGCGAGGCCUGGGGAAGGGGAAUAGUGGUAAUGGAAGUUACAGUUAUAGGUUGUUGGUAUUUUGUUUACUUGGGAUAUCAUAUCCUCCUCAAGUAAUGUUAGGGUACUUGAUAUACCAGUGGUCACUUGAAGAGGAUUUAAAUCGCUGGGAAGCAGUUAUUAGGCUGCAGGUAAAAUAUGUCUUGGUGAUUUUAGACAGUAUAUGGACCAUACAUCUGGCAAGGAGUAAAAUCUUAUGUAGCCAUUAACCCAUUCAAUAGAUUUGCUUUGGGUUUUGGGUAAUGUAACUUGUAAAUGAAUUGCAAUUUGGAAGCUUUUGCAGUUUUCUGCUUAAAACAAUCAGCCAUUGGUGCUUCUGAAGAUUAGUUCUAGUAUAUUUAGUUGGAUAGAUAAAUUCAACAUUUGUUAAUACAAGGCUUUGUUUCUGGUGAGUUCUGGCCGUAAUCUAGCAUGCGGGUGGUUCUUGCCUAUAUUAUUUCUUCAUCAUUCUUACAAGGAUAUAUUUUGUUGACAAUUAGGUCCUCCAAUGUUAUGUUUUUCAGGUAUAUUUUAUCAACCCUAUGUGGUCAGUUAAGUCAGUGAUGUGGUUGUUAGUGAUAAGUAGAUUAUGAUUUAUCACUAGUUCACUACAGCAUUGUCAAAAUGUGGUUGUUAGUGACACAAGUUCUCUAUGCCAGUUAAGUUUUAGCUUCUUUUUUUCUUUUCUUUUUCCUACAUGUUAAUUUUCUGCUAAUCAUUAUUCCAAAAUCACAAGUUCACAACUGCAUACAGAAUUAUCUACACAUUCUAUGGUCAGCAUCCAUACCCACACUUGUAAUAUUU